GGGUGAUUAGCUCACUGGUAGAGCAAUUGACUGCAGAUCAAUAGGUAAUUGGUUCGAUUCCGAUAUCGCCCU
Molecule: transfer RNA, 72 nt
Filed under: Blepharisma stoltei
Lineage: Eukaryota; Ciliophora; Heterotrichea; Heterotrichida; Blepharismidae
Description: tRNA-Cys(gca)
Rfam family: tRNA
About the family: Transfer RNA (tRNA) molecules are approximately 80 nucleotides in length. Their secondary structure includes four short double-helical elements and three loops (D, anti-codon, and T loops). Further hydrogen bonds mediate the characteristic L-shaped molecular structure. tRNAs have two regions of fundamental functional importance: the anti-codon, which is responsible for specific mRNA codon recognition, and the 3' end, to which the tRNAs corresponding amino acid is attached (by aminoacyl-tRNA synthetases). tRNAs cope with the degeneracy of the genetic code in two manners: having more than one tRNA (with a specific anti-codon) for a particular amino acid; and 'wobble' base-pairing, i.e. permitting non-standard base-pairing at the 3rd anti-codon position.
Source: RNAcentral